Molecule: long non-coding RNA, 809 nt
Organism: Elaeis guineensis (African oil palm)
Lineage: Eukaryota; Viridiplantae; Streptophyta; Magnoliopsida; Arecales; Arecaceae
Source: RefSeq, a predicted model, not a curated record
AAGAACGGGAUGAGGAUGAAGCAUCGGAGUUUGAGAUCAAAAGCAUCAUUGAGUGCAGCGUUGAUGAAACUUUGCGUCCUGUGGGGCGAUCCAUCGCACCAAAGGUUUGAGGAAUUCAUCAGCGCUGCACUCAAUUAUGUCUUUGAUAUCCCAAUCAGAAAGAGACAUGAAUAGGUAUCUCUUGAGAUGCAACGAUUAACCUUUUUUCAUGAAAUCUCUUCCUUGGAUUGGAGCUGGUUUACGUUUUUGGAUCGAUUGGCGAGUGUACCGAACAUCACCAUGAGAGAUAAUCAAAUGCUUUAAAAGAAUGAUGGAAAUGCAUCUCAUUUCUACAAAUGAUACCUUGAUGUUGAGCUUUCUGGUGUUAAUGAUGAAACAAUAGAUCCUUGUACAGGUCUUUACCAUCAAAAGUUCACAUGGCUACAUGGAAGCUGGACCAUUGAAAGGCUGAUGCUAAAUUCUUGUAAUGCCGGCUCUUUACAUAAUUGGGACAAACAAUAACUUCUUAUGACCUGUACCAUUUCAUUAUUCAGUUAGUGGAGGUUCUGAGGAUAUGAAUACAAGAGCUUGGGCAUAUAUCCAGUUGUUUUCGGUUAAGUAUCAAAGUACAUUAUGAAUUAUUGUUUGACAUAGACAACUAGAAGCAAAAUGUGGUUGCUUAUUACAGCGAGAAGACGACUGCUUUUGGAUUAGUUAGUACAAAGGUCAGGGCAUCCAAGGCUUUUGAUGUCUAAGGUGAAUGCUAUUAUUGCAUUACUGUAAGUGUUUAUGACUGAGAACUCAUUCUUAGAUAUUGGAUGUUUUCCUAA